Molecule: ribosomal RNA, 372 nt
Filed under: uncultured bacterium
Lineage: Bacteria
Description: bacterial SSU rRNA
Rfam family: Bacterial small subunit ribosomal RNA
Source: RNAcentral
UACGGAGGGUGCAAGCGUUAUCCGGAUUCACUGGGUUUAAAGGGUGCGUAGGUGGAUAUUUAAGUCAGUGGUGAAAUCUCCGAGCUUAACUCGGAAACUGCCAUUGAUACUAUUUAUCUUGAAUGCCCUGGAGGUAAGCGGAAUAUGUCAUGUAGCGGUGAAAUGCUUAGAUAUGACAUAGAACACCAAUUGCGAAGGCAGCUUACUACGGGGUGAUUGACACUGAGGCACGAAAGCGUGGGGAUCAAACAGGAUUAGAUACCCUGGUAGUCCACGCCCUAAACGAUGAUUACUCGACAUACGCGAUACACUGUGUGUGUCUGAGCGGAAGCAUUAAGUAAUCCACCUGGGAAGUACGACCGCAAGGUUGAA